RNAcentral lists this transfer RNA (72 nucleotides) under Ornithorhynchus anatinus (platypus). It matches the Rfam family "tRNA". From Rfam's summary of the family: Transfer RNA (tRNA) molecules are approximately 80 nucleotides in length. Their secondary structure includes four short double-helical elements and three loops (D, anti-codon, and T loops). Further hydrogen bonds mediate the characteristic L-shaped molecular structure. tRNAs have two regions of fundamental functional importance: the anti-codon, which is responsible for specific mRNA codon recognition, and the 3' end, to which the tRNAs corresponding amino acid is attached (by aminoacyl-tRNA synthetases). tRNAs cope with the degeneracy of the genetic code in two manners: having more than one tRNA (with a specific anti-codon) for a particular amino acid; and 'wobble' base-pairing, i.e. permitting non-standard base-pairing at the 3rd anti-codon position. The record is from Rfam by way of RNAcentral. Lineage: Eukaryota; Metazoa; Chordata; Mammalia; Monotremata; Ornithorhynchidae.
CGCGGCGUGGCUCAGUGGAAAGAGCCUGGGCUUUGGAGUCAGAGGUCAUGGGUUCGAAUCCCGGCUCUGCCC